AAGUCGUAACAAGGUUUCCGUAGGUGAACCUGCGGAAGGAUCAUUAAAGAGUUGUCGCCACCCCCUCUGGGGGAUGAGGUCUCGGGUGAGGCUCGGAGUUAAACCCCCCGGGUCCCCGUCCUUCCCACCCUGUGUAUACCCUUCCCACGUUGCUUUGGCGGGCCCUGGGUGCGCCCUUCUGGGGCACCCUGCCGGCGUCGGACUUCGUCCCCCGCCGGCGAGCGCCCGCCAGAGACCCCUUACCAUUCUGCAUUUUUUUCAAUGUCGUCUGAGCAAAAACACAAAUAAAAUAAAA
This 295-nucleotide unclassified non-coding RNA is filed under the name plant metagenome. RNAcentral describes it as "partial contains small subunit ribosomal RNA and internal transcribed spacer 1". The stretch from base 1 to 46 matches the Rfam family "Eukaryotic small subunit ribosomal RNA", at positions 1786 to 1831 of the family's 1831-position model. The record is from RNAcentral.